Nothobranchius furzeri (turquoise killifish) is the source of this 421-nucleotide non-coding RNA. The record is from RefSeq and is a predicted model, not a curated record. NCBI's taxonomy places the organism in Eukaryota, Metazoa, Chordata, Actinopteri, Cyprinodontiformes, Nothobranchiidae.
GCCUGAUGCUGAACUUCGGGCAGCUGCGUGCUCCGUGGAACAACCGCCUGUGGGAGGAGUCGUUGUGUUGCUGUUAGGAGUUUGGGUCGGAGUCCUGGAUCUAUGGGAAUUCUUUCCUUGAAGCUCCUGAUCACACAACCAUACUGGCAGUCGGCUUACCCACUACCUUCUGCUCACCCGCUUGCAACUCAUGCUGUCAUUCUCCCAGACUUCUGGUGGUUUCUCCACCAUUCUGCUGUCUCCCGUCUGCGCUACAACUUCAGACCGGCCUUCUGAUCUUUAAACACUAAAACCUGUGGCUCCAUCUCUGUGGCGUUUCUCAGUCUCUGUAAGCUACCUGCACAGUCUAAGAAAAACCUGACCUGUUGCCUCUUACUAACCUCUGCUCUUCCUCGCAGAAGCGUCUGGUUCCUGAUCUCCA